GGGAAUGUGGCUUAGUGGUAGAGUGCUUGCCUCACAUGCAUGAAACCCUGGGUUCGAUUCCUCAGUACCA
This 70-nucleotide transfer RNA is filed under the name Dipodomys ordii (Ord's kangaroo rat). It matches the Rfam family "tRNA". From Rfam's summary of the family: Transfer RNA (tRNA) molecules are approximately 80 nucleotides in length. Their secondary structure includes four short double-helical elements and three loops (D, anti-codon, and T loops). Further hydrogen bonds mediate the characteristic L-shaped molecular structure. tRNAs have two regions of fundamental functional importance: the anti-codon, which is responsible for specific mRNA codon recognition, and the 3' end, to which the tRNAs corresponding amino acid is attached (by aminoacyl-tRNA synthetases). tRNAs cope with the degeneracy of the genetic code in two manners: having more than one tRNA (with a specific anti-codon) for a particular amino acid; and 'wobble' base-pairing, i.e. permitting non-standard base-pairing at the 3rd anti-codon position. The record is from Rfam by way of RNAcentral. Lineage: Eukaryota; Metazoa; Chordata; Mammalia; Rodentia; Heteromyidae.